RNAcentral lists this ribosomal RNA (307 nucleotides) under uncultured eukaryote. RNAcentral's name for it is "partial 18S ribosomal RNA". It matches the Rfam family "Eukaryotic small subunit ribosomal RNA", at positions 1470 to 1796 of the family's 1831-position model. The record is from RNAcentral.
CCCUUAGAUGUUCUGGGCCGCACGCGUGCUACACUGAGUGGAUCAGCGGGUUAGGUAACACGAAAGUGUAUCCUAAUCUUCAAAUCCGCUCGUGAUGGGGAUUGAUGGUUGCAAUUUUUUAUCAUGAACGAGGAAUACCUUGUAGGCGCGUGUCAUCAUCACGCGCCGAAUACGUCCCUGCCCUUUGUACACACCGCCCGUCGCUCCUACCGAUUGGGUGAGCCGAUGAAACUCUCGGAUGUAGGCUAUUCAUAGCCCGCAGAAGAGAUUUGAAUCGUAGCGCUUAGAGGAAGGAGAAGUCGUAACA